UUCGAAUCCCGGGCAACCCAUCGUCAUAUCGAAGU
RNAcentral lists this transfer RNA (35 nucleotides) under Apterosperma oblata. RNAcentral's name for it is "partial tRNA-Lys". The record is from RNAcentral. Lineage: Eukaryota; Viridiplantae; Streptophyta; Magnoliopsida; Ericales; Theaceae.